GGGCCGUUAGCUCAUUUGGUAGAGCACCUCAUUUGCACUGAGGGGGUGGCGGGUUCAAAUCCUGUACGGUCCA
RNAcentral lists this transfer RNA (73 nucleotides) under Candidatus Levyibacteriota bacterium. Its description in RNAcentral is "tRNA-Ala". It matches the Rfam family "tRNA". From Rfam's summary of the family: Transfer RNA (tRNA) molecules are approximately 80 nucleotides in length. Their secondary structure includes four short double-helical elements and three loops (D, anti-codon, and T loops). Further hydrogen bonds mediate the characteristic L-shaped molecular structure. tRNAs have two regions of fundamental functional importance: the anti-codon, which is responsible for specific mRNA codon recognition, and the 3' end, to which the tRNAs corresponding amino acid is attached (by aminoacyl-tRNA synthetases). tRNAs cope with the degeneracy of the genetic code in two manners: having more than one tRNA (with a specific anti-codon) for a particular amino acid; and 'wobble' base-pairing, i.e. permitting non-standard base-pairing at the 3rd anti-codon position. RNAcentral also lists the same sequence under 2 other names. The record is from RNAcentral. Lineage: Bacteria; Candidatus Levyibacteriota.